AACGAACGCUGGCGGCAUGCCUAACACAUGCAAGUCGAACGAAACCUUCGGGUCUUGUGGCGCACGGCGUCGUAACGCGUGGGAACCUGCCCUUAGGUUCGGAAUAACUCCCCGAAAGGGGUGCUAAUACCGGAUCAUGUCUUCUGACCAAAGAUUUAUCGCCUUUGGAUGGGCCCGCGUUGGAUUAGCUAGUUGGUAGGGUAAAAGCCUACCAAGGCGACGAUCCAUAGCUGGUCUGAGAGGAUGAUCAGCCACACUGGGACUGAGACACGGCCCAGACUCCUACGGGAGGCAGCAGUGGGGAAUAGUGGACAAUGGGCGAAAGCCUGAUGCAGCAAGGCCGCGUGAGUGAUGAAGGCAUUAGGGUUGUAAAGCGCUUUUACCCGGGAUGAUAAUGACAGUACCGGGAGAAUAAGCCCCGGCUAACUCCGUG
RNAcentral lists this ribosomal RNA (433 nucleotides) under uncultured bacterium. Its description in RNAcentral is "partial 16S ribosomal RNA". It matches the Rfam family "Bacterial small subunit ribosomal RNA", at positions 29 to 507 of the family's 1533-position model. The record is from RNAcentral.